Molecule: transfer RNA, 60 nt
Filed under: Hydrophilidae sp. BMNH 1274333
Lineage: Eukaryota; Metazoa; Arthropoda; Insecta; Coleoptera; Hydrophilidae
Description: tRNA-Cys
Source: RNAcentral
AGCCUUAUAUUCAACAAUGAUUUUAAAUUGCAAAUUUAAAGGUGGGAUUCCCUAAGGCUU